Long non-coding RNA from Phoenix dactylifera (date palm), 3875 nucleotides. RefSeq lists it as uncharacterized. The record is from RefSeq and is a predicted model, not a curated record. Lineage: Eukaryota; Viridiplantae; Streptophyta; Magnoliopsida; Arecales; Arecaceae.
CAUAUCCAAUCCGAUCCCUUCCUCCCUCGAUCCACCACCAGCCCUAAUUUCUUGAUCCGCAAUUUCAAUCUCCUCCUCCUCUCUGAGUUCCACCGUCAGACAUGAAUGCUCCUCUAUCAUCAUCCUCCUCUCCUGGCCUCCUUCUCCUUCUUAACCAACCUCCUCUAUUAGAGAUGUCGGCCUUCUCCUCUCCCAAGCUCCUCUAUCGAAGAGCAGUAUACCUUUACUGGCCUCUUCCUCCUCCCAGCCCCUACUCUUAUCGAGCUCCCCUUCCCAGCCCCUACUCUCUCUCGUCUCCCUUCCUUGUUCUUGUCCUUCAACCCACUGCCGCCGGCCUCUAUCGAUUGAGGGUGCUCUGAUCUCUGCCACCCAUCACUCCGACCAACCAGCCCCUCCGUUGACGACAUUGUCAUCAUCCCUCAGAUCUCUGCUAGCCUGCUCUUCUCUCUGUGGUAAUUCAUGCUUAGAUCUUCACUGCCUUGGUUGCUAUUUUGCUCUGAAUGACGCUAAAGUCAAAUGCUGCUAUGAAUCUAACACUAAUAUUUUGCUAUGAAUUUAUGCCUUAUUUGGUAAUCCACAGCUUUUCUUAGUUGAUUAGGCUAUAAAUUAUCAUUCAGUUGAAAAGGCCUACUUAACUUUUUCACGUUUGGCUUUGAAAGAAGAGUAUUAAGCAAAAUGUGAUUAGCUUCCUAACUACUACAAACCUACACUAUAAUGAUAUGAACAAUAUCUACGACUGUACAAUGAUCUAGGCAGACAUCCAAAUGUUCUCCAAUAUCAUUAUAUUUAUAAAAAUUAGUCUAGGUAAAACUCAUAAUUGAAAUAUCUAGGUUGGGAUUUGACACUAAUGCUAAUGAUCAGAAACAAAAGUUCUCUUUAAUUACUAUUUUAUUAGAGAAGUUGAUUGAUAUGAGACAAAGGUUGGACCUGGAACCAGACCAAUAUGUUAUUUACUUUGGGUACGUUUUGAUCAUUCUAUGGUAGUAAAGGGAUAGCAUUAGAGAAGAAAUGGUUCACCCCCCUUGUAUCAUUUUUGUGACAUGAUAUAUUUACAACUUUAUAAUGCUUGUAUUUUGAGCUUGAUGAUUAUAAAUAAAUAGGAAUAAGAAAAAGCUUCCUGUAAAAAUCCAUAAACAUGACUGCAAAUGGUCCAAUUAUUCCUCACCACCUGUUGGGUAAUGGUUGACACACAACAUAAAUUGUAACAAAAUGAAUCGUUGCAUGAGAGAACUUAAGGGGAAUAAAUUGGUCAAAUUCUGAGCUCGAUCACCCAAAUUAAUGAACUAGAAACUAGGUAACCAGAACUAAUCAAGCAUGUAAUGCCUACCUUUAAUGUAGUUAGUCAGGUAAGGACCAUUUUUGGUUUUGUUUAGAUCAUAUCCUACUUCCCCAUUUCAUAAAUAUGAAUCUAGACCCAACUUAGCAUUAUCAAAAUCGGAAUCAUUUAGCUAGGGUUUAGCUUUUUCACUAUAAAAAAGACUAGACUUAGACUUUGUUCAAACAAAUUUAGUAGAAUUCUAGGCCCGAGCCUCUUGUAUAUAUACUUUAGUAGAAUGCCAUAGGUAUCCCUUUCUAUAUAAAUUUUUACCGAACCCAAUAUUAAAUAUUUAAUUACUUUUAUUUUUUAGAAGUUGCAAUUUUAAUUAGAAUUUUUAUAUAAUAGAUAAAAGUUGGAUAAAUAAGUUGAGGUCCAACAAAGCUUACUUGGAUGGAGUUCAAACUUUUAUUAAAUUUGCUGUUGAGAAAGCUAGUACGAACAAAAAAAAUACUAUAUCUAUGUCAAAAAUAUGUAAAUCAAAAUUAUUUAGCUAGGGUUUACCUUUUUUACUAUAAAAAAGACUAGACUUAGACUUUGGUCAAACAAAUUUAAUAGAAUUCUAGGCCCGAGCCUCUUGUAUACUUUAGUAGAAUGCCAUGAUUAUCCCUUUCUAUAUUAAUUUUUACUGAAUACAAUAUUAAAUAUUUAGUUAUUUUUACUUUUUUAGAUAAGUUGUAAUUUCAAUCAGUUUUCUUAUAUAAUUGACAAAAGUUUGAUAAAUAAGUUAAGGUCCAGCAAAGCUUACUUGGAUAGAGUUCAAACUUUCAUUAAAUUUUCUAUUAAGAAAGCUAGUACGAACGAAAAGAUUUUAUAUCCAUGUUAAAAAUGUGUAAAUUAUUCUUUUCUUACUCCAAAAACUGAAAAAAUUUUAGUGUGGAAUGAUUUUAUAGACGAUUAUACAAAGUGGGUAUUUCAUAAAGAGUCCAUGUUGCCAUCUCUAUAUAAUUGACCUUUCUAUAUACAACAUACCUCUUUUUGGAUCUAGUAACAUGCAAAGAAAUUUUGCAGAAAACGAUGAUAUGAGGGGUUUACUCAGAAAUGCUCUAAGAGUUGGUGUUGAAAUUUAGGAGAUUUUAGUGGAGGACAAGAAACAGUUGAGAUGUUUGAAAGGUCUAUAUUUACUGGUUCUAUACAUGUCGAGGAACCUAUACAUUCAUCUAAAUAAUAAGGUAGAUCAGUAUUGGAACUUGGUAAAAGAUUAUGAUCAAAAACUAUAUAUGGGUUGUAAAAAAUUUUCAAAAUUUUUUCUUAUGUAUUUAUUCUAUUUAAAAUAUAUUGCUCUAAUUAUUAAAGAAUGUAUUUUUGAAAAGUGUUGCUUUGUUAUCAUCUUUUUAUAAAGCUAAGAAACUAGUAAAUAAAUUUGAUCUUGGAUACGAGAAGAUUGACACUUGUCCAAAUGACUGUAUGUCAUAUCAAAAUAAAAAUGUUAACCAAUAGUCCAUCACGAUAGGUAACACAUAAAGAAGAUGAGGAUAAUCUAUUGAAUGAAAUGGAUACGAUAUGAAGUAUGAAAAAAUUGACCAAAGCUUUGCAUUAUUUUUCUCUCAUACGUAGAUUGAAAAGGAUCUACCAUCAUAGAAUAUAGCUUCUUUGAUAAGAUGACGUGAUGAAGGUCAUAUAAAUGAUGGAAUAUUAAAACACCCAAUAGAUAGUUUAGAAUGAAAAACAUUUGAUGAUAAACAUCCUGAUUUUGCUUCUAAUAUUUCUACUGUUAGACUAGAUCUGGCUAGUAAUGGCUUCAAUCCAUUUCAGACGAUGAAGUUAGUUAGGAUAGAUGUUGAAGGAGAGAAUGAUGCUUGAUUCUUAUUGGUAAGAAAUAUUUAAGAUGUAUACAUUGUGUGAAAUAUUAUUUUCUUUUAGCAUGUUCAUUUAAUAAAUAUUGUUUCUUAUUAACAAUUUAUUUAGUAUUGUAUUAAUUGAUAUUGAUUUUAAUUUGUGUAAAUUAUGUAACAUAAUGCCAUGAGGAAAAUGAUUGAGAGAUGUGGAGUUCUAGCAUUCUUAGAUUGGAUUAUUUUCUGGUCGGUCCUAGUAGUCCCAACAACCCCAUAAGCCCCAUGGACUCAAGCAGCUCCUGAAUCCCAGUAUCCCUAUGUAUACCAAUAGCCUAAGGAUGGUCCUUUGAUACGACAGUCUUAGUAGCUUCAAGCAAGAUCUUGCUCAUCUGGGCAGCAGCCCUAAUUCCAGAACGAGCCUCCUUUUGAUUACUCAGAUGAGGAAGUUAUUAUAGAUGACUUGCAGAUCCAAGACAGAUAUGGGAGAGUGAGGAUGAAAUGGAGAUCCAUAUGAGCAAGGGAUGUGUGACAACUCGGUGAAGGUGAGAGGUCAAUAUCAAAUGCAACCAGAUGGGGCAGCCCAUCAAGAGGGUUGAAAGCAUAUUAGCAGAUUUUUUAGGAUUAGUUGGGCAAAAGGGUCAGCUGUGUCUGCUCAACUAUGCUAGAUUAAAUGAUAUGAUUACUUCCUAUAAGGUUGAGCUUCUACGAGUUGUGCAUAUUAAGAAUUGGAUUUGAUAUCAUAUUUUAACUUGCUAAUGAUCAUAAAUAUCUAAUUCAAUUUACCA